Long non-coding RNA from Dalotia coriaria, 470 nucleotides. RefSeq lists it as uncharacterized. The record is from RefSeq and is a predicted model, not a curated record. The transcript has 2 exons. Lineage: Eukaryota; Metazoa; Arthropoda; Insecta; Coleoptera; Staphylinidae.
UAUGUAAAUUUCCCAUAAGUAUUCAUCAUUUUGUGGUAAUGAUUUGGAGGCAAUGUUAUCUAAUACCAUAUUAAAAUCAUUCGCGUUUGUGUAACCACUGAUUGGUUUAAUUAAUUCGGAAAUAGAAACAUCACAAAUUGAAUUACAGGACGUUUUGUGCAAGCAAUCAUUGUUGACAUUCCAUCUAAUAAUCCAACAUAUUGCUCUCCAUACUUUAGUUUCAAGUAACAAUCAACUAGUCCGUUAAAUAAGGCAAAGGUGAUUAAUAAAAUUGCCCAGAUGGUCAUGGCAAGUAUCUCUGUCACAAUUUGUACUGGUAUCAGCAGUGUUCUUGAAAACUCAUUUUUAAUACGAGAAAAUAUUAUCAAUUCAAGAAUAGCAUGAUUAUAAAUUGGAAGAACCAACGUAUCUGAAAAUUAAAUGUAAUUAACUUAUCUACAUUAGAAACUAAAUAUAUAUGUAUUAAUCAA